GUUUUUCCUUCUUUCUUUUACAAAGGUAUUUUUGUCAAUCGAAAUAAUACGAAGAACAAGAUAAAAGGGGAGUCAUAGUAAUAAUGCUAAAAACGAUAACUAGACAAGUUUGACGUCCUAUCAACCUUCCCAGAUCAUCGACCUCCAUAUGUCCAGCACUAAUAGUACAAGUUCGAUUCACUGGCACAUCGAGAUAGUCUCACAAGAAAGAGGUCAGAGAUAAAGUUAAGCAGAAUUUACAGGUGUGUUUGCAUGUUUAGAUAUACUUUCGAUCCUUCAUAAUAGUACAUUCAAACUCAAAAAGUUGUUGCUACCACAUCCCAGCGCCAUAUAGUCCCAUCUUCACAACAGCUAAGUAUGGUGCUUCCAUCAAAAGACAUGGCAGUCUGUCUAAUUGGUUGUUUAGAUUGAACAUGAGACAGCUUUGCAAUCAAAGUUGGCGGGCUUGUUUGUACUUCCCAGACAAAGAUCUUGCCUUCUCUAUUUCCUAUAGCUGCUGUUUUGUAGUGAUAAUCAAAUGAAAGCUUAAUAAACCAUAUAUCACACUCCGGCACAGGAUACUUUUGGAGGACGUCACUGGUGCCCUCUCCAGCAGAUUGUUCUUUCAUCUUUGGUUCCCAUAAUAGAAUUUCAUUGUCAACACUCUUGGACAAGAUAAAAUCACCAAGCCAUCUGUUACAGUCAACGUAGUUGUUAUGGACAGAAGCUAUUAACAAUGGAAACUGUACAUAUUUUGUGGGAAACUUGGAAGGAAGAUCCGUCCAAGUAAACGAUUUCUCCACAUAUGUCCAGAAUUCUUUCAUUGACCAGAUCUUAACAGUGUUAUCCAUUCCACAGCUAGCAAUCCGAUAUAUAUCAGUAGGAUGGAAGUCCACACUAAGUACUUCAUUCCGAUGACCUCCAGCGCCAGCAAAUACCAAAAUGCAUAUUCCAGUAUGAACAUUCCACAAGCGAACAGAUUCAUCUUUGCUGGCAGAUAAUACAAGAGAUGGUUUCAAGGGUUGAGUCCUAAUUUCAUUUACUGAGUCUCCGUGCCCCACAAAGCUCUUGUGUAGCUUCUCUUUCCCAGCAUCAAUAACACGAAUAACUCCAUUUAUUCCACCAGCCACUAAGAAUGGACUUCCAUCAAUAUUGCAGGCCCAACUUACAGUGUAAAAGGAUUCAUCUUUAUCUUCAUCAAUAUAAGACUGCAGCACAGCAAUGACACCACCUUCGAGACACUGAUAUACAGUCACACGAUUUCCGCCCACAGUAGCAAAGACAUUGAAGUAGCGCGAAUCAAUGAAAUUGAAGACGACGCCAUAUAAUGGGCGUUUGCCUUCUUGGAGUCUGUUCGUCACUCUAUACUCCUUUUUCCUUGACGGUGUUAAUGAUCCAACAACUGGCUCACAUCCUAGAGGUACUCUGGCCGCCAUUGC
This 1418-nucleotide unclassified non-coding RNA is filed under the name Hevea brasiliensis (rubber tree). The record is from RNAcentral. Lineage: Eukaryota; Viridiplantae; Streptophyta; Magnoliopsida; Malpighiales; Euphorbiaceae.